AGAGUUUGAUCCUGGCUCAGGAUGAACGCUGGCGGCGUGCCUAACACAUGCAAGUCGAGCGGAGAUAUAUGUCUAGGAGACUUCGGUCAAAUUAAUUAUAUCUUAGCGGCGGAUGGGUGAGGAACGCGUGGAGAACCUGCCCUUCACAGGGGGAUAACAGCUGGAAACGGCUGUUAAUACCGCAUAUGCUCACAGCACCGCAUGGUGCAGGGAGGAAAGCCUUUACGGUGAAGGAUGGCUCCGCGUCGGAUUAGCCAGUUGGCGGGGUAACGGCCCACCAAAGCGAUGAUCCGUAGCCGGCCUGAGAGGGCGACCGGCCACAUUGGGACUGAGACACGGCCCAAACUCCUACGGGAGGCAGCAGUGGGGGAUAUUGCACAAUGGGGGGAACCCUGAUGCAAGCGACGCCGCGUGAAGGAAGACGUGCUUCGGCAUGUAAACUUCUAUCAGCAGGGAAGAAGAUGACGGUACCUGACUAAGAAGCCCCGGCUAACUACGUGCCAGCAGCGGC
RNAcentral lists this ribosomal RNA (511 nucleotides) under uncultured bacterium. RNAcentral's name for it is "bacterial SSU rRNA". It matches the Rfam family "Bacterial small subunit ribosomal RNA", at positions 8 to 518 of the family's 1533-position model. The record is from RNAcentral.